RNAcentral lists this ribosomal RNA (459 nucleotides) under uncultured bacterium. Its description in RNAcentral is "partial 16S ribosomal RNA". It matches the Rfam family "Bacterial small subunit ribosomal RNA", at positions 338 to 795 of the family's 1533-position model. The record is from RNAcentral.
CCUACGGGCGGCUGCAGUGAGGAAUAUUGGUCAAUGGGCGCGAGCCUGAACCAGCCAAGUCGCGUGAGGGAAGACGGUCCUAUGGAUUGUAAACCUCUUUUGUCGGGGAGCAAAAGACGCCACGCGUGGCGUUCCGAGAGUACCCGAAGAAAAAGCAUCGGCUAACUCCGUGCCAGCAGCCGCGGUAAUACGGAGGAUGCGAGCGUUAUCCGGAUUUAUUGGGUUUAAAGGGUGCGCAGGCGGAAGAUCAAGUCAGCGGUAAAAUUGAGAGGCUCAACCUCUUCGAGCCGUUGAAACUGGUGUUCUUGAGUGAGUGAGAAGUAUGCGGAAGGCGUGGUGUAGCGGUGAAAUGCAUAGAUAUCACGCAGAACGCCGAUUGCGAAGGCAGCAUACCGGCGCUCAACUGACGCUCAUGCACGAAAGUGUGGGUAUCGAACAGGAUUAGAUACCCGUGUAGUC